Molecule: ribosomal RNA, 458 nt
Filed under: uncultured bacterium
Lineage: Bacteria
Description: bacterial SSU rRNA
Rfam family: Bacterial small subunit ribosomal RNA
Source: RNAcentral
GAUUUUAAGCUUCUACGGGAGGCUGCAGUGGGGAAUCUUGCGCAAUGGGCGAAAGCCUGACGCAGCCAUGCCGCGUGAAUGAUGAAGGUCUUAGGAUUGUAAAAUUCUUUCACCGGGGACGAUAAUGACGGUACCCGGAGAAGAAGCCCCGGCUAACUUCGUGCCAGCAGCCGCGGUAAUACGAAGGGGGCUAGCGUUGCUCGGAAUUACUGGGCGUAAAGGGAGCGUAGGCGGACAUUUAAGUCAGGGGUGAAAUCCCGGGGCUCAACCUCGGAAUUGCCUUUGAUACUGGGUGUCUUGAGUAUGAGAGAGGUGUGUGGAACUCCGAGUGUAGAGGUGAAAUUCGUAGAUAUUCGGAAGAACACCAGUGGCGAAGGCGACACACUGGCUCAUUACUGACGCUGAGGCUCGAAAGCGUGGGGAGCAAACAGGAUUAGAUACCCUUUAGUCGAAUUCUU